CGUAGGGUGCAGGCGUUAAUCGGAAUUACUGGGCGUAAAGCGUGCGCAGGCGGUCUCUUAAGACAGGUGUGAAAUCCCCGGGCUUAACCUGGGAACUGCGCUUGUAACUGAGAGGCUAGAGUGUGGCAGAGGGGGGUGGAAUUCCACGUGUAGCAGUGAAAUGCGUAGAGAUGUGGAGGAACACCGAUGGCGAAGGCAGCCCCCUGGGCUAACACUGACGCUCAUGCACGAAAGCGUGGGGAGCAAACAGGAUUAGAUACCCUGGUAGUCCACGCCCUAAACUAUGUCAACUGGUUGUCGGGGAAGCAAUUCCUUGGUAACGAAGCUAACGCGUGAAGUUGACCGCCUGGGGAGUACGGCCGCAAGGUUA
RNAcentral lists this ribosomal RNA (370 nucleotides) under uncultured organism. RNAcentral describes it as "bacterial SSU rRNA". It matches the Rfam family "Bacterial small subunit ribosomal RNA", at positions 526 to 896 of the family's 1533-position model. The record is from RNAcentral.